This 564-nucleotide small RNA is filed under the name Pan troglodytes (chimpanzee). RNAcentral's name for it is "processed transcript". Lineage: Eukaryota; Metazoa; Chordata; Mammalia; Primates; Hominidae. The record is from RNAcentral.
AAAGCAGUUGAGUAGGCAGAAAAAAGAACCUCUUCAUUAAGGAUUAAAAUGUAUAGAUCAAAAAUCUUACUUUUAUAGGAGCAGUUUUCAACUCCUAAAUGUUGAAUAUAAUAGUCAGUUAAAUUCACCAGCUACACAGGAAUACAGGACUUUGAGUGGAAGAAUUGAAUCUCUGGCAAGAUGGUAGUGGUGUGAGAGCGGAUGUUGUCAUGAAAUUUCGAUUCACUAGAAAUAACAAUGGAGCAUCAAUGAAAAGCAGAAUUGAGUCUGUUUUACAACAAAUGCUGAAUAACUCUGGAAACCUGGAAAUAAACCCUUCAACUGAGAUAACAUAAUGUGGGGCCGGUCCAGACCUAAUAACAUUGUCUGAGCAGAGAAUCCUUGGAGGCACUGAGGCUGAGGAGGGAAGCUGGCCAUGGCAAGUCAGUCUGCGGCUCAAUAAUGCCCACCACUGUGGAGGCAGCCUGAUCAAUAACAUGUGGAUCCUGACAGCAGCUCACUGCUUCAGAAGCAACUCUAAUCCUCGUGACUGGAUUGCCACGUCUGGUAUUUCCACAACAUUUC